GUGGGGAAUCUUAGACAAUGGGGGAAACCCUGAUCUAGCCAUGCCGCGUGAGCGAUGAAGGCCUUAGGGUUGUAAAGCUCUUUCAGCUGGGAAGAUAAUGACGGUACCAGCAGAAGAAGCCCCGGCUAACUCCGUGCCAGCAGCCGCGGUAAUACGGAGGGGGCUAGCGUUGUUCGGAAUUACUGGGCGUAAAGCGCGCGUAGGCGGACCAGAAAGUUGGAGGUGAAAUCCCAGGGCUCAACCUUGGAACUGCCUUCAAAACUCCUGGUCUGGAGUUCGAGAGAGGUGAGUGGAAUUCCGAGUGUAGAGGUGAAAUUCGUAGAUAUUCGGAGGAACACCAGUGGCGAAGGCGGCUCACUGGCUCGAUACUGACGCUGAGGUGCGAAAGCGUGGGGAGCAAACAGGAUUAGAAACCCGGGUAGUCC
RNAcentral lists this ribosomal RNA (425 nucleotides) under uncultured bacterium. RNAcentral describes it as "partial 16S ribosomal RNA". It matches the Rfam family "Bacterial small subunit ribosomal RNA", at positions 354 to 796 of the family's 1533-position model. The record is from RNAcentral.